GUGCUCACUUCGGCAGCACAUAUACUAAAAUUAGAAUGAUACAGAGAUGAUUAGCAUGGCCCCUGUGCAAGUAAUGACACGCAAAAUUUAAAAAAAAACAACAACGAC
Suncus etruscus (white-toothed pygmy shrew) is the source of this 108-nucleotide small nuclear RNA. The record is from RefSeq and is a predicted model, not a curated record. NCBI's taxonomy places the organism in Eukaryota, Metazoa, Chordata, Mammalia, Eulipotyphla, Soricidae.